Molecule: ribosomal RNA, 322 nt
Filed under: uncultured bacterium
Lineage: Bacteria
Description: bacterial SSU rRNA
Rfam family: Bacterial small subunit ribosomal RNA
Source: RNAcentral
AAUGAACGCUGGCGGCGCGCCUAAUACAUGCAAGUCGAGCGAGAAGACGUAGCAAUACGUUUGUAAAGCGGCGAACGGGUGAGGAAUACAUGGGUAACCUACCCUCGAGUGGGGAAUAACUAGCCGAAAGGUUAGCUAACACCGCGUACGCUUCUUGGACUUCGGUUCAGGGAGGAAAGCGAUGCCGAGGGUAUCGCGCUCUUGGAUGGGCUCAUGUCCUAUCAGCUUGUUGGGAGGUAACGGCUCACCAAGGCUUCGACGGGUAGCUGGUCUGAGAGGACGAUCAGCCACACUGGCACUGCGACACGGGCCAGACUCCUAC